GUGACUGCGUACCUUUUGUAUAAUGGGUCAGCGACUUAUAUUCUGUAGCAAGGUUAACCGAAUAGGGGAGCCGAAGGGAAACCGAGUCUUAACUGGGCGUUAAGUUGCAGGGUAUAGACCCGAAACCCGGUGAUCUAGCCAUGGGCAGGUUGAAGGUUGGGUAACACUAACUGGAGGACCGAACCGACUAAUGUUGAAAAAUUAGCGGAUGACUUGUGGCUGGGGGUGAAAGGCCAAUCAAACCGGGAGAUAGCUGGUUCUCCCCGAAAGCUAUUUAGGUAGCGCCUCGUGAAUUCAUCUCCGGGGGUAGAGCACUGUUUCGGCAAGGGGGUCAUCCCGACUUACCAACCCGAUGCAAACUGCGAAUACCGGAGAAUGUUAUCACGGGAGACACACGGCGGGUGCUAACGUCCGUCGUGAAGAGGGAAACAACCCAGACCGCCAGCUAAGGUCCCAAAGUCAUGGUUAAGUGGGAAACGAUGUGGGAAGGCCCAGACAGCCAGGAUGUUGGCUUAGAAGCAGCCAUCAUUUAAAGAAAGCGUAAUAGCUCACUGGUCGAGUCGGCCUGCGCGGAAGAUGUAACGGGGCUAAACCAUGCACCGAAGCUGCGGCAGCGACGCUUAUGCGUUGUUGGGUAGGGGAGCGUUCUGUAAGCCUGUGAAGGUGUGCUGUGAGGCAUGCUGGAGGUAUCAGAAGUGCGAAUGCUGACAUAAGUAACGAUAAAGCGGGUGAAAAGCCCGCUCGCCGGAAGACCAAGGGUUCCUGUCCAACGUUAAUCGGGGCAGGGUGAGUCGACCCCUAAGGCGAGGCCGAAAGGCGUAGUCGAUGGGAAACAGGUUAAUAUUCCUGUACUUGGUGUUACUGCGAAGGGGGGACGGAGAAGGCUAUGUUGGCCGGGCGACGGUUGUCCCGGUUUAAGCGUGUAGGCUGGUUUUCCAGGCAAAUCCGGAAAAUCAAGGCUGAGGCGUGAUGACGAGGCACUACGGUGCUGAAGCAACAAAUGCCCUGCUUCCAGGAAAAGCCUCUAAGCAUCAGGUAACAUCAAAUCGUACCCCAAACCGACACAGGUGGUCAGGUAGAGAAUACCAAGGCGCUUGAGAGAACUCGGGUGAAGGAACUAGGCAAAAUGGUGCCGUAACUUCGGGAGAAGGCACGCUGAUAUGUAGGUGAAGUCCCUCGCGGAUGGAGCUGAAAUCAGUCGAAGAUACCAGCUGGCUGCAACUGUUUAUUAAAAACACAGCACUGUGCAAACACGAAAGUGGACGUAUACGGUGUGACGCCUGCCCGGUGCCGGAAGGUUAAUUGAUGGGGUUAGCGGUAACGCGAAGCUCUUGAUCGAAGCCCCGGUAAACGGCGGCCGUAACUAUAACGGUCCUAAGGUAGCGAAAUUCCUUGUCGGGUAAGUUCCGACCUGCACGAAUGGCGUAAUGAUGGCCAGGCUGUCUCCACCCGAGACUCAGUGAAAUUGAACUCGCUGUGAAGAUGCAGUGUACCCGCGGCAAGACGGAAAGACCCCGUGAACCUUUACUAUAGCUUGACACUGAACAUUGAGCCUUGAUGUGUAGGAUAGGUGGGAGGCUUUGAAGUGUGGACGCCAGUCUGCAUGGAGCCGGCCUUGAAAUACCACCCUUUAAUGUUUGAUGUUCUAACGUUGGCCCCUGAUCGGGGUUGCGGACAGUGUCUGGUGGGUAGUUUGACUGGGGCGGUCUCCUCCUAAAGAGUAACGGAGGAGCACGAAGGUUGGCUAAUCCUGGUCGGACAUCAGGAGGUUAGUGCAAUGGCAUAAGCCAGCUUGACUGCGAGCGUGACGGCGCGAGCAGGUGCGAAAGCAGGUCAUAGUGAUCCGGUGGUUCUGAAUGGAAGGGCCAUCGCUCAACGGAUAAAAGGUACUCCGGGGAUAACAGGCUGAUACCGCCCAAGAGUUCAUAUCGACGGCGGUGUUUGGCACCUCGAUGUCGGCUCAUCACAUCCUGGGGCUGAAGUAGGUCCCAAGGGUAUGGCUGUUCGCCAUUUAAAGUGGUACGCGAGCUGGGUUUAGAACGUCGUGAGACAGUUCGGUCCCUAUCUGCCGUGGGCGCUGGAGAACUGAGGGGGGCUGCUCCUAGUACGAGAGGACCGGAGUGGACGCAUCACUGGUGUUCGGGUUGUCAUGCCAAUGGCACUGCCCGGUAGCUAAAUGCGGAAGAGAUAAGUGCUGAAAGCAUCUAAGCACGAAACUUGCCCCGAGAUGAGUUCUCCCUGACUCCUUGAGAGUCCUGAAGGAACGUUGAAGACGACGACGUUGAUAGGCCGGGUGUGUAAGCGCAGCGAUGCGUUGAGCUAACCGGUACUAAUGAACCGUGAGGCUUAACCU
This 2353-nucleotide ribosomal RNA is filed under the name Escherichia coli 2-222-05_S4_C2. Its description in RNAcentral is "bacterial LSU rRNA". It matches the Rfam family "Bacterial large subunit ribosomal RNA", at positions 593 to 2925 of the family's 2925-position model. Lineage: Bacteria; Pseudomonadati; Pseudomonadota; Gammaproteobacteria; Enterobacterales; Enterobacteriaceae. The record is from RNAcentral.